This 253-nucleotide ribosomal RNA is filed under the name uncultured bacterium. Its description in RNAcentral is "partial 16S ribosomal RNA". It matches the Rfam family "Bacterial small subunit ribosomal RNA", at positions 524 to 776 of the family's 1533-position model. The record is from RNAcentral.
UACAGAGGUCCCAAGCGUUGUUCGGAUUCACUGGGCGUAAAGGGUGCGUAGGCGGUCGGGUAAGUCCGAUGUGAAAUCUCACAGCUUAACUGUGAAACUGCACUGGAUACUAUCCGGCUAGAGGAAUGGAGGGGAGACUGGAAUACUUGGUGUAGCAGUGAAAUGCGUAGAUAUCAAGUGGAACACCAGUGGCGAAGGCGAGUCUCUGGACAUUUCCUGACGCUGAGGCACGAAAGCCAGGGGAGCAAACGGG